AUUGAACGCUGGCGGCAUGCCUUACACAUGCAAGUCGAACGGUAACGGGCCUUCGGGUGCCGACGAGUGGCGAACGGGUGAGUAAUACAUCGGAACGUGCCCGAUCGUGGGGGGUAACGAGGCGAAAGCUUUGCUAAUACCUCAUACGAUCUACGGAUGAAAGCCGGGGACCUCAAGGCCGUGCGCGGACCGAGCGGGCGAUGGCAGAUGAGGUAGUUGGUGGGAUAAAAGCUUACCAAGCCGACGAUCUGUAGCUGGUCUGAGAGGAUGAUCAGCCACACUGGGACUGAGACACGGCCCAGACUCCUACGGGAGGCAGCAGUGGGGAAUUUUGGACAAUGGGCGCAAGCCUGAUCCAGCAAUGCCGCGUGCAGGAUGAAGGCCUUCGGGUUGUAAACUGCUUUUGUACGGAACGAAAAGCCUUCUUUUAAUACAGGAGGGUCAUGACGGUACCGUAAGAAUAAGCACCGGCUAACUACGUG
RNAcentral lists this ribosomal RNA (482 nucleotides) under uncultured bacterium. RNAcentral's name for it is "partial 16S ribosomal RNA". It matches the Rfam family "Bacterial small subunit ribosomal RNA", at positions 30 to 507 of the family's 1533-position model. The record is from RNAcentral.